UACAGAGGUCCCAAGCGUUGUUCGGAUUCACUGGGCGUAAAGGGUGCGCAGGUGGCGCUUCAAGUUUGAUGUGAAAGCUUCGGGCUCAGCCCGGAAAUGGCAUUGAAUACUGGAGUGCUGGAGGUUUGGAGGGGGGACUGGAAUUCUCGGUGUAGCAGUGAAAUGCGUAGAUAUCGAGAGGAACACCAGUGGCGAAGGCGAGUCCCUGGACGACUCCUGACACUGAGGCACGAAAGCUAGGGGAGCAAACAGG
RNAcentral lists this ribosomal RNA (253 nucleotides) under uncultured bacterium. RNAcentral's name for it is "partial 16S ribosomal RNA". It matches the Rfam family "Bacterial small subunit ribosomal RNA", at positions 524 to 776 of the family's 1533-position model. The record is from RNAcentral.